Syngnathus acus (greater pipefish) is the source of this 587-nucleotide long non-coding RNA. RefSeq lists it as uncharacterized. The transcript has 3 exons. The record is from RefSeq and is a predicted model, not a curated record. NCBI's taxonomy places the organism in Eukaryota, Metazoa, Chordata, Actinopteri, Syngnathiformes, Syngnathidae.
CACACACCGGGCAAAAUAAAACAAGACACAGCAUCUCUCUGAGAUAUUACUGGCCAGCGAUGUCUGUUGACAUUAAUGAGUGGGUAUGUAAACAAUACAAAAAGAGUAUACUUGUUUGUUCAUUUUUUUUAGCCUGCAAACAUAAUGAAUGAAACUAUUCCUUUGUAUCUUUUGCAAACAAUUCAAAAUCAUUAUCUAAGAUCUUGCCCUUUUUGCAUGCAUUUAUUAACAAUGACUACUUUUCCACAAAACUUGCCAUUGUCAGGUGUCCCAAUGCACCGAAUGUCAGGCAGCCGGCAUAUCAAUAAAAAGCCCAACAGAGGUCAUGCCUAUACAGAUCAACAAGAGAGUAUGUGAAAUGCUUGACAUAAAAAGAAGCCUUUGCUCACCAUGCCGCCCCCAAACUAAUGGGUUGGUGGAAAAAUUAAAUGGGACAAUUCAAAGAGCUCUGAGCAAAGUGGUUUGUCAGCAUCCAGAAAGCUGGGAUGAAUAUUUGGAUGCAGUUAUGUUUGGUCUGCGGACCAAAAAACAAAUGACGACAAACUACUCGCCUUACUUUCUAAUGUUCGGCAGAGAGGCACGCUACC